RNAcentral lists this ribosomal RNA (445 nucleotides) under uncultured bacterium. RNAcentral's name for it is "partial 16S ribosomal RNA". It matches the Rfam family "Bacterial small subunit ribosomal RNA", at positions 354 to 796 of the family's 1533-position model. The record is from RNAcentral.
GUGAGGAAUAUUGCGCAAUGGAGGCAACUCUGACGCAGCCAUGCCGCGUGCAGGAAGAAGGCGCUACGCGUUGUAAACUGCUUUUAACCGGGAAGAAACCCCAGGACGUGUCCUGGGUUGACGGUACCGGAGGAAUAAGCACCGGCUAACUUCGUGCCAGCAGCCGCGGUAAUACGAAGGGUGCAAGCGUUAUCCGGAUUCAUUGGGUUUAAAGGGUGCGUAGGCGGAGCGUUAAGUCAGUGGUGAAAUCCUGCAGCUUAACUGUAGACUUGCCAUUGAUACUGGCGCUCUUGAGUGCGCUUGAAGUGGGCGGAAUGUGCCGUGUAGCGGUGAAAUGCUUAGAUAUGGCACCGAACACCAAUUGCGAAGGCAGCUCACUAAGGCGAUACUGACGCUGAGGCACGAAAGCGUGGGGAUCGAACAGGAUUAGAAACCCUAGUAGUCC